AAAGGAAUUGACGGGGACCCGCACAAGCGGUGGAGCAUGUGGUGUAAUUCGAAGCAACGCGAAGAACCUUACCAGGUCUUGACAUCCCUCUGACCGGUCCGUAACGGGACCUUCCCUUCGGGGCAGAGGAGACAGGUGGUGCAUGGUUGUCGUCAGCUCGUGUCGUGAGAUGUUGGGUUAAGUCCCGCAACGAGCGCAACCCUUAUCCUUAGUAGCCAGCAGUUCGGCUGGGCACUCUAGGGAGACUGCCAGGGAUAACCUGGAGGAAGGCGGGGAUGACGUCAAAUCAUCAUGCCCCUUAUGAUCUGGGCUACACACGUGCUACAAUGGUGACUACAAAGGGAAGCGACCCUGUGAAGGUGAGCAAAUCCCAAAAAGGUCAUCCCAGUUCGGAUUGUAGUCUGCAACUCGACUACAUGAAGCUGGA
Molecule: ribosomal RNA, 427 nt
Filed under: uncultured bacterium
Lineage: Bacteria
Description: bacterial SSU rRNA
Rfam family: Bacterial small subunit ribosomal RNA
Source: RNAcentral